UGGGGAAUAUUGCACAAUGGGCGCAAGCCUGAUGCAGCCAUGCCGCGUGUAUGAAGAAGGCCUUCGGGUUGUAAAGUACUUUCAGUCGGGAGGAAGGCGUUAAGGUUAAUAACCUUGGCGAUUGACGUUACCCGCAGAAGAAGCACCGGCUAACUCCGUGCCAGCAGCCGCGGUAAUACGGAGGGUGCAAGCGUUAAUCGGAAUUACUGGGCGUAAAGCGCACGCAGGCGGUCUGUCAAGUCGGAUGUGAAAUCCCCGGGCUCAACCUGGGAACUGCAUUCGAAACUGGCAGGCUAGAGGCUUGUAGAGGGGGGUAGAAUUCCAGGUGUAGCGGUGAAAUGCGUAGAGAUCUGGAGGAAUACCGGUGGCGAAGGCGGCCCCCUGGACAAAGACUGACGCUCAGGUGCGAAAGCGUGGGGAGCAAACAGG
This 429-nucleotide ribosomal RNA is filed under the name Chloroflexota bacterium. Its description in RNAcentral is "Chloroflexi bacterium partial 16S ribosomal RNA". It matches the Rfam family "Bacterial small subunit ribosomal RNA", at positions 355 to 776 of the family's 1533-position model. The record is from RNAcentral. Lineage: Bacteria; Bacillati; Chloroflexota.